GCCCCUGUCAUAUAAAGGCUAUUAUGCCUGUUUUGUAAUCAGGUUAUUGCGGUUCGAAUCCGUACUGGGGCACCA
RNAcentral lists this transfer RNA (75 nucleotides) under Pseudomonas phage psageK4. Its description in RNAcentral is "tRNA-Thr". It matches the Rfam family "tRNA". From Rfam's summary of the family: Transfer RNA (tRNA) molecules are approximately 80 nucleotides in length. Their secondary structure includes four short double-helical elements and three loops (D, anti-codon, and T loops). The record is from RNAcentral. RNAcentral also lists the same sequence under 1 other name. Lineage: Duplodnaviria; Heunggongvirae; Uroviricota; Caudoviricetes; Vandenendeviridae.